GGUCUCUAGCUCCAGUGUGAAUAACUCAAGGUUUGACCUUAGUUGGUUGUACCUGGCAUUGACGGUGUUUCCGCACCUGUCCCUUGUUGAAGGCAUUGCUUCGAGAUUGCUCGGACCUGCUCUUCGGGGUGAAAACCCUUGAUCUAUCCCUAUCGGUUUGGAUCCGGUGAUGACGGCGAUCAGACGUCGUUACUUUUCCUGGAGGCGUCGCCUAUGAAGAACCUUUCUUGUUGUCUAGGUGCUGCCUCGGCGGUGUUUGUGGUUGUUGUUGUUGUGUGUCGUCGUCGCUUUGGUCCUUUGUUUCUUUUUCUUUUUUGGCUGUGUGCACACUCAUUGUCCCGUGUGCUUGACAGUGGUUGUUUCAUAGGCCGGGUGUACUUGAUAUCUUCUGAAUAUUAAUAUAUUGCCCGUAAAAAAAAAUAAGUAACCGUAAAUAAAUCUUUUGCAACUCGUUUGGCAUCCAUCAUUUGGGCAUAGAAUUCUGUAACUUAUUUAAAAUUCUAGAAACCAGUUUGUGUGACUUCCACAG
This 529-nucleotide long non-coding RNA is filed under the name Brachypodium distachyon (stiff brome). RNAcentral describes it as "long non-coding RNA (BDIS_LNC003496)". Lineage: Eukaryota; Viridiplantae; Streptophyta; Magnoliopsida; Poales; Poaceae. The record is from RNAcentral.